Molecule: ribosomal RNA, 247 nt
Filed under: uncultured Actinomycetales bacterium
Lineage: Bacteria; Bacillati; Actinomycetota; Actinomycetes; Actinomycetales
Description: partial 16S ribosomal RNA
Rfam family: Bacterial small subunit ribosomal RNA
Source: RNAcentral
CGGGGUACUCGAGUGGCGAACGGGUGAGUAACACGUGGGUGAUCUGCCCUGCACUUCGGGAUAAGCCUGGGAAACUGGGUCUAAUACCGGAUAGGAGCCAUUUUUAGUGUGAUGGUUGGAAAGUUUUUCGGUGUAGGAUGAGCUCGCGGCCUAUCAGCUUGUUGGUGGGGUAAUGGCCUACCAAGGCGGCGACGGGUAGCCGGCCUGAGAGGGUGGACGGCCACAUUGGGACUGAGAUACGGCCCAG